CGUUGGAAAAUAUUGAAAUUUUCCGUGCAUGUUCUUUCAAUUUCGUACCCUUUUUCUGAGGAGCCAAAGGGAUUCUCCACUCCUUUCUCUUCUCAAAUAUCCAAGCAAUAAUCAUUCUCAAGUCUUCAAAAUAAAUCAAUGGCAACAACGACGCAGAGCAGCAAUUCAAUGUCUGACACUGAGUGCUCAUACGACAAACACAAGCGCGAGGACGAUUUCGAGGAAUCAAAUUUGGGGUUAGCAAAGAAGCAGAGAACUGCAGAAAAUGCAAUGGAGGAGCAAGCGACAAGGAGGGAUUCGGAUGUGGAUAAGGUGAGUGAAGAAGAAACUAACAAAAAUGUUUGUUUGAAAGAAGCGAAACAGAGUAUGGAGGGGAAGAAGGGAUUCCAUAUCGAAGCUGACGCUGCCGAAGAUAAAGGUUCUAGGCAUUCCAUGGAGGAUGCUUGGGUAUUGCUCCCGGACGCGAGUUUUGAUUCUCCUGGCACUUUGAGGUGUGCUCAUUUUGCAAUUUAUGAUGGGCAUGGAGGGCGGUUGGCUGCUGAAUAUGCUAAGAAGCAUUUACAUAGAAAUGUCCUUUCAGCUGGCUUACCACGUGAGUUGUUGGAUGUGAAAGCUGCGAAAAAGGCCAUACUAGAUGGUUUUCGAAAAACAGAUGAAUCUCUCCUACAUGAAAGUGCUUCAGGGGGAUGGCAGGAUGGUGCUACAGCUGUAUGUGUCUGGGUAUUGGGGCAAACAGUUUUUAUCGCUAACAUUGGGGAUGCUAAAGCAGUUUUAGCUCGGUCAUCUGAAGCUGGUGGAUCACUAAAUCAUUCAGAUGGUGAAAGACUGUUGAAAGCCAUUGUUUUGACUAGGGAACAUAAAGCUAUAUAUCCACAGGAACGUGCACGCAUACAGAAGGCUGGUGGAAGCAUAACUUCAAAUGGACGAUUACAGGGUCGCCUUGAAGUUUCCAGGGCCUUUGGAGAUCGCCAAUUCAAGAAGGUUCAAAGUUGGCGUUGUUGCAACUCCAGAUAUCCAUUCUUUUGACCUUACAGGCAGAGAACACUUCAUCAUUCUUGGUUGUGACGGCUUGUGGGGGGUAUUUGGGCCAAGUGAUGCUGUUGAAUUUGUUCAGAGAUUAUUGAAGGAGGGCUUAGCUGUUACUUCUGUGAGUCGCCGUCUCAUAAGGGAAGCUGUAAUUGAAAGACGUUGCAAAGACAAUUGCACUGCUAUAGUGAUUGUUUUCAGGCGCGAGUAACUCCGAAGUCACCUGUUUCGCCCCAUCACUUGACAAGAGGUUCUCAAAUCUUUUGUUUGGCUGUAGAAACUCCCCACAUGGUUAUGGCAUAUGACUGUUUUUGAUUGAAUGUUA
Molecule: RNA transcript, 1351 nt
Organism: Manihot esculenta (cassava)
Lineage: Eukaryota; Viridiplantae; Streptophyta; Magnoliopsida; Malpighiales; Euphorbiaceae
Gene name: probable protein phosphatase 2C 8
Exons: 10
Source: RefSeq, a predicted model, not a curated record